This 388-nucleotide unclassified non-coding RNA is filed under the name uncultured bacterium. Its description in RNAcentral is "contains 16S-23S intergenic spacer region". The record is from RNAcentral.
GUGUCGAUGGACGCGAACGGAUCGCGCUCCAGGAUCUUCUUGUCCUGGUAGACACGAAGAAACUUCCCGACGUCGUCUCGCGAAAAGCCGAACGUGAGCUGCGUGAGAUCGUUGGUGCCGAACGAGAAGAACUGCGCUUCCUGGGCAAUCUGAUCGGCCGUCAUCGCGCCGCGCGGCACCUCGAUCAUCGUGCCGACGAGGUACUUGAUCUUCAUGCCUUCGGCCUUCAUCGUCUCCGCCGCCACGCGAUCGACGAUCGCUUUCUGGUCGCGGAGCUCCUUGACGUGCCCGACGAGGGGGAUCAUGAUCUCGGGGACGACCUUCAGGCCUUCCUUGUUCAGCCGGCACGCCGCCUCGAUGAUGGCGCGCGUCUGCAUUUCAGUGAUCU